Molecule: ribosomal RNA, 241 nt
Filed under: uncultured bacterium
Lineage: Bacteria
Description: partial 16S ribosomal RNA
Rfam family: Bacterial small subunit ribosomal RNA
Source: RNAcentral
UGGGUAACCUGCCUCAAAGAGGGGGAUAGCCUCCCGAAAGGGAGAUUAAUACCGCAUAAUAUGUUUAAGUCGCAUGACUUUAACAUCAAAGGAUUUUCUUUUAGAAAUUCCACUUUGAGAUGGACCCGCGGCGCAUUAGCUAGUGGUGAGGUAACGGCUCACCAAGGCAACGAUGCGUAGCCGACCUGAGAGGGUGAUCGGCCACAUUGGAACUGAGACACGGUCAGACUCCGUAGGGAGG